This 105-nucleotide non-coding RNA is filed under the name Pedobacter kyungheensis. Its description in RNAcentral is "SAM-I sequence". It matches the Rfam family "SAM riboswitch aptamer (S box leader)". From Rfam's summary of the family: The SAM riboswitch is found upstream of a number of genes which code for proteins involved in methionine or cysteine biosynthesis in Gram-positive bacteria. Lineage: Bacteria; Pseudomonadati; Bacteroidota; Sphingobacteriia; Sphingobacteriales; Sphingobacteriaceae. The record is from RNAcentral.
UGCUUAUUAAGAAAGACGGAGGGAUUAGACCCAACGAAGUCUUAGCAACCUGUGCCACACAAGGUGCUAAAUUCUAUCUCGAUUUUAUUCGGGGAAAGAUAAGUU